CAUCCUCAAAUUUUUUUACUUUUUAAUGUUGCUAUUACAAUAAUAGAAUCGAGUUAGAAUACACUUAGAAGCACCAAUUUUUUGGUGCUUUUAGAUUUCUAACCUUUAAAUCUACUCUUUGACUACUAAUAGCCUUUGGAUCAAACACUAUUUCACCUACCACCAUUUAUCACGAUCAUCCUACUCCUACAUCACUCCAUCUGAGAACUAUAAAUCUAAAAGCACCAACCCUUUAGUAUUUUUAAGCGAAUUCUAGCUUAACUCUAUAAUAAUAUAUACA
Molecule: long non-coding RNA, 280 nt
Filed under: Ananas comosus (pineapple)
Lineage: Eukaryota; Viridiplantae; Streptophyta; Magnoliopsida; Poales; Bromeliaceae
Description: long non-coding RNA (ACOM_LNC010870)
Source: RNAcentral